GAAUGGCUCAGUUGGUUGGAGCAUGGUGCUGAUAACAGCAAGAUCGCAAGUUCGAUCCCUGCAUGGGACA
Podarcis lilfordi (Lilford's wall lizard) is the source of this 70-nucleotide non-coding RNA. The record is from the annotation of a GenBank genome assembly. NCBI's taxonomy places the organism in Eukaryota, Metazoa, Chordata, Lepidosauria, Squamata, Lacertidae.